Molecule: long non-coding RNA, 4000 nt
Organism: Bos taurus (domestic cattle)
Lineage: Eukaryota; Metazoa; Chordata; Mammalia; Artiodactyla; Bovidae
Source: Ensembl
AGUUUCUCAUCGUCCGAGACUCCCAGCCUGUUUGUGCAUUUUUUCCGGGAGUCUAGGCUCCGAGGCCAACUUCGCUCCCGGGUUAAGACGGCCCUGGGCACGGAGGACGGGUGGAUGCGUGGGAGAUGGUAUCCAGCUGGGGACCCUGCCCCUCUGAACCGGGAGUUCCGGGCUGCCCCCGGGGACAUCCCAGGCCGAGGCGAGGCGGGAGACCAGGGAGAAGACCCGGGCCAGCGAUCCCUUUUCAGAUGGCUUCUCAACGAGCGCCUCGGAGCCGCUGUCCUGGAGCCGCCGGGGUUAGGGGAAUGACAUUUGGGUGAGAAGGGGCGGCUCCAGAUCCGAAGGGUACCCCACUCCCUCACCCCUGGCCAGGGUCCCUUUAUCUGCGGAGUCUAGACGGAUGCACAGGCGGAAGCCACCACCCCGGCUCAGACUCCGCUGCUGCUUGCCAAACACAGAGAGCCGACCCGCAGCGAUGGCCCGGGUCCCAUCCCCGAACCGUCCCCUCAACCCCGGUCCCCCCCGGCCAGAGCCUGGCCUACCCCCCCACUCCGCCCCGUCGGUCCCAGCGCAGAGGGUGAAGCCCCGCCGCCGGGAGCCUCAGGCCUCCUACAGGAAGACGCAUCGUGGGACCGUGGGCCAAAUCCUCAUGGAAAAAGCUUUUAGGAUGGGGGAGAUGUGGCGUGAGGGUUGGGGCCGUCGGGGGACGUCGCAUCUUGGACAGAAACCACCUCAGGUCCAUGGGCGGACGCGGAGCCCACGGGUGAAACAGCGCUUCUUUCUGUCUCCUCACCCUCCUUUCCUUCUUUAAUUUCCACCGCUCUGGACAGCGUGCCUACCCGGUGCCAGCUCCUGAGAGGCCCUCGGGGCACCAAGGUGAACAAAACCGGGCGGCCGCUGGAGCUGGGGACAAACUAGAAGAUUCCAGGCCUGGGCGGGCAGGCUGAGGGCCACAGUGGGGAACGCGGUCAAAGACACCACCGGGGAUGGUUGGCGGGGGCCUGAGUGAGGUUCCAACUGCCUAGGCCUCUGCAUCUUGAGGCCCUGGCGUUCUGUGCGACCUGCCCGUGGUGAUCCCCGUGGCCUCCAGUGUCCUCCGGGCUGACUGGGAACCUGGCAUCCCCGAGGUCGGGAGGACGGGGUGGGGCUGCGGACAGGAGAGAUGGACGCCCGAGCGAGCCUUGAACCGAAAGUGAACCCCGGGAGCACCGACCUCCUGUAGUCCGGGGCUUUCUCUCUGAAGCCAAAAAUACCCCGGGUCAUAGUUUGCUUUUUCUUUUCUAAGUAGCCAUAUUUACAUAAAUCCCCACUGGAAAUUUCCACCUUUCAAGACUGACCGCUGUUUUUGGUGUUUCCAGAGGCUAAAUGAAGUCAGGGGAUUUUUACAAGUUGAAGUGACCCUCCCCCUCUGCCCAGGCAGAGAGAUGAGUUUGCUAACCCUCCCCUCCUCUAACCCCAGGCCAGCUGUGCCUAUCAAAGUACCCAGAGGGCUGGGCUGGGGGUCCCCAGGGAUGGGGCUGUGGUCCUGGAGUGGGGAAGUGGACCCCCAGGAGUGGGCAACCCCUCAGCCCUCAUCCCUGGGUAUUUCACCACCAAAGUUAAGCUCUAUCUUCAGAGUUCCCCACUUCCUCCUUUCCUUCCUUGGAAAUUCGGUUGCAAAUAUCACUACAUGGUGUAACCUUUAAAGGUAAACUUCUGAAAUGGCCAGCUCCAAAUAAAAACUAGCCUUUUGUGAGGGAUCCAACUCCAAACCAAACUGGUUUUCCCUUUUAGAAAUGCUCCCCUUUUACCACAAAGACAAGAGAUGCUCAGUGUUGUGAGAGAACACACAAUUAGGCCUUGGGGAUUUUUAAGUCAACAUUAUAUGUACAAAAUCUACCCAAAAAGGAGAAAGCAGCUUAUCAAAACUGCCAACGGACUCAGAACUCUUAAUAGGUAACAUUUUACAGAACUGUAUUUGAUCCAAGAUAGUUAAGUUUCAAUGGAAUAGCUGAAUUCUGUUCUUUUGAUUGAUGAUGUUUAAGUUUUUAAAUAUUAAUAUUCCUUCUUUCUCUUGAGCUUUUUAUUUUGUAUUGGGGUAUAGCCAAUUGACAAUGUUGUGAUAGUUAAGUUUUAUAUAUGUAUGGCAAUUAAACAGCUGGUUGAUUCAGUUGAAUAAUUUGUCCUUGGGCUAUUUAAAAAAAAAUUCACUAUUUUAGUUAUAUUUCUCAAAGAGGCCACCUAACUGUAAUAGCUAUAACAGGAAGGUCUUAAAAAAUUACAAGCAGUGUAUUUAAAGACUGAAAACUGAAUGCACCUGUAAUGGCACACUCCCCACAAAAUUUGUUUAGAAAGCAAAGUGAGAUGACCUAACGGUGGAGCCAUGCAUGAACCCUCCCCAUGCAUGCGUGUGUGCUAAGUCACUUCAGACUCUUUGCAACCCCACGGACUGCAGCCUGCCAGGCUCCUCUGACCAUGGGGAUUCUUCAGGCAAGAAAUACUGAAGUGGGUUGCCAUGCCCUCCUCCAAGGGAUAUUCCCAACCCAAGGAUCAAACCCACGUCUCUUAUGUCUCCUGCAUUGGCAGGUGAGUUCAUUGCUCAUCAAAUAACCAAGGUCCCAACCUCUAGAAUAGAACGAAUGGCAGAAUGAUUUUAAGCAUUUCAUAUGUCUGAAUUUUAGCACGUAGUAACUGUUGACUUUCAUUAUUAUGAAAGUUAGAGUAUCCAUUUGCUGUAUGACAUAAACUCCUCUGCGGCAACAGGUGCUCCAAAUGUGUUGCCCUGUUUGCCAAGAGAACUACCCACGUGAGCUGAAAGAGAAAUGCUUUUCGUUUUUUCUUUUGGAAGGCAGUGCACCUUGGGAUACAGUGCAGACUGUGCUAUCUGACAAACUGACUUCUGAUGACAUCCCCACUGUUGAGUUGCAAUCAUAAUAGUUCUAGAUCUUGACUGAGUUACACCUGUAUUUGACCAACUCCUAGUCUUGAUACUUAGGAUAUUCCCAAAAAUUUCCUACUGUAUCUGUAAAGAAAAAAAAAAUGUUGCUGGCCAUUCCAGUUCUACAAGGAUCAAGUCAUAAGGCAUUGCAGUCACCCACUGACAGGGGAAUCCAGAAUGGAAAGGGAAAAAAAGGAAAUAUUUUGUGCUUUGGCUGUCUGCCCCUAGAUGGUUAAGAUAAACAUCUAAGGGAAGAUUUCCAUGAUCCUAGAUUCUUGCAUUUUUCCAUAAAGAGAAAAGCACUAAACUCGUUAAUUUGAGAUGUCUGUUCUUUGUGAUUCACAGUGAUCUUUUGAUGUUCAGUUCCAUGGUUUUUUCCCAGCAAAUUAUACAUAUAGGUCCCUCAGACAGUAAAGAAUCUGCCUUCAAUGCAGGAGACUCAAGUUUGAUCCCCGGGUCAGGAAAAGCCUCUGGAGGAGUGACUACCUACUCCAGUAUUGCCUGGAGAAUUCCGUGGACAGAGGAGCCUGGCAGGCUACAGUCUAUGGGUUCACAAAGAGUCAGACAUAACUGAGCGACCAACACUUUCACUUUCCUGUUCCACUCCGUACCUCUUUCAAAGCAGUUCCUCGGAGUUAUCUGAGAGGCUCUUUCCCAGACUAUAUCCUCAGUAAGGUCUCGAUAAAACUUAAUUCCCAGAUUUUACAUUCUGUGCUUUUAUUUCAGCACCUGAAACAAGACGCAAGGAGGGUGGGCACAACCUUUGGAAGAUACAGCCAUGAGGACACACCAGAAACUGGCUAGAACCAACCCCAUAGACAGCAGCCCACCAGGCUCCUCGUCCCUGGGAUUCUCCAGGCAAGAACAUUGGAGUGGGCUGCCAUCUCCUCCAAUGCAUGAAAGUGAAAAGUGAAAGUGAAGUCGCUCAGUUGUGUCCGACUCCCAGCGACCCCAUGGACUGCAGCCUACCAGGCCCCUCCGUCCAUGGGAUUUUCCAGGCAAGAGUACUGCAGUGGGUUGCCAUUGCCUUUCUAAAUAAAUCCAAUUCGUACCUAUCACUUUGUCUCUCACUGAAUUAUUUCU